RNAcentral lists this ribosomal RNA (253 nucleotides) under uncultured bacterium. Its description in RNAcentral is "partial 16S ribosomal RNA". It matches the Rfam family "Bacterial small subunit ribosomal RNA", at positions 524 to 776 of the family's 1533-position model. The record is from RNAcentral.
UACGGGGGGAGCAAGCGUUGUUCGGAUUUACUGGGCGUAAAGGGCGCGUAGGCGGCGCAACAAGUCACUUGUGAAAUCUCCGGGCUUAACCCGGAGCGGCCAAGUGAUACUGUCGUGCUAGAGUGCGGAAGGGGCUACUGGAAUUCUCGGUGUAGCGGUGAAAUGCGUAGAUAUCGAGAGGAACACCUGCGGCGAAGGCGGCGCUCUGGGCCGGAACUGACGCUGAGGAGCGAAAGCGUGGGUAGCAAACAGG